GACAAGGUUUCCGUAGGUGAACCUGCGGAAGGAUCAUUA
This 39-nucleotide ribosomal RNA is filed under the name Phanerochaete sp. CUT3. RNAcentral describes it as "partial 18S ribosomal RNA". Lineage: Eukaryota; Fungi; Basidiomycota; Agaricomycetes; Polyporales; Phanerochaetaceae. The record is from RNAcentral.